UAACUGGUUAAUAACCAGUUGCCUGAUGUAACUUGGAGAGGAAGAGGUGGCUAACUCUGUGCCAGCAGCCGCGGUAAUACAGAGACCUCAAGCGUUAUUCGGAUUUACUGGGCGUAAAGGGUGCGCAGGCGGCCAAGUGUGUCGGAGGUGAAAUCUUGCAGCUUAACUGUAAAAUUGCCUACGAAACUACUUGGCUAGAGUAUCGGAGAGGAUAGCGGAAUUCCAGGUGUAGCAGUGAAAUGCGUAGAUAUCUGGAGGAACACCAAUGGCGAAGGCAGCUAUCUGGACGAUUACUGACGCUCAGGCACGAAAGCAUGGGGAGCGAAAGGGAUUAGAUACCCCUGUAGUCCAUGCCGUAAACGUUGUACACUAGAUGUUCGAGGAAUCGACCCCUUGAGCGUUCAAGCUAACGCGAUAAGUGUACCGCCUGAGGACUACGGCCGCAAGGCUAAACUCAAAGGAAUUGACGG
This 470-nucleotide ribosomal RNA is filed under the name uncultured bacterium. RNAcentral describes it as "bacterial SSU rRNA". It matches the Rfam family "Bacterial small subunit ribosomal RNA", at positions 450 to 916 of the family's 1533-position model. The record is from RNAcentral.